RNAcentral lists this ribosomal RNA (1279 nucleotides) under Klebsiella aerogenes. RNAcentral describes it as "partial 23S ribosomal RNA". It matches the Rfam family "Bacterial large subunit ribosomal RNA", at positions 1661 to 2916 of the family's 2925-position model. The record is from RNAcentral. Lineage: Bacteria; Pseudomonadati; Pseudomonadota; Gammaproteobacteria; Enterobacterales; Enterobacteriaceae.
AGGUGGUCAGGUAGAGAAUACCAAGGCGCUUGAGAGAACUCGGGUGAAGGAACUAGGCAAAAUGGUGCCGUAACUUCGGGAGAAGGCACGCUGAUAUGUAGGUGAAGCCCCUGCGGGUGGAGCUGAAAUCAGUCGAAGAUACCAGCUGGCUGCAACUGUUUAUUAAAAACACAGCACUGUGCAAACACGAAAGUGGACGUAUACGGUGUGACGCCUGCCCGGUGCCGGAAGGUUAAUUGAUGGGGUUAUCCGUAAGGAGAAGCUCUUGAUCGAAGCCCCGGUAAACGGCGGCCGUAACUAUAACGGUCCUAAGGUAGCGAAAUUCCUUGUCGGGUAAGUUCCGACCUGCACGAAUGGCGUAAUGAUGGCCAGGCUGUCUCCACCCGAGACUCAGUGAAAUUGAACUCGCUGUGAAGAUGCAGUGUACCCGCGGCAAGACGGAAAGACCCCGUGAACCUUUACUAUAGCUUGACACUGAACAUUGAGCCUUGAUGUGUAGGAUAGGUGGGAGGCUUUGAAGCGUGGACGCCAGUCUGCGUGGAGCCAACCUUGAAAUACCACCCUUUAAUGUUUGAUGUUCUAACGUGGACCCGUAAUCCGGGUUGCGGACAGUGUCUGGUGGGUAGUUUGACUGGGGCGGUCUCCUCCCAAAGAGUAACGGAGGAGCACGAAGGUUAGCUAAUCCUGGUCGGACAUCAGGAGGUUAGUGCAAUGGCAUAAGCUAGCUUGACUGCGAGCGUGACGGCGCGAGCAGGUGCGAAAGCAGGUCAUAGUGAUCCGGUGGUUCUGAAUGGAAGGGCCAUCGCUCAACGGAUAAAAGGUACUCCGGGGAUAACAGGCUGAUACCGCCCAAGAGUUCAUAUCGACGGCGGUGUUUGGCACCUCGAUGUCGGCUCAUCACAUCCUGGGGCUGAAGUAGGUCCCAAGGGUAUGGCUGUUCGCCAUUUAAAGUGGUACGCGAGCUGGGUUUAGAACGUCGUGAGACAGUUCGGUCCCUAUCUGCCGUGGGCGCUGGAGAAUUGAGGGGGGCUGCUCCUAGUACGAGAGGACCGGAGUGGACGCAUCACUGGUGUUCGGGUUGUCAUGCCAAUGGCAUUGCCCGGUAGCUAAAUGCGGAAGAGAUAAGUGCUGAAAGCAUCUAAGCACGAAACUUGCCCCGAGAUGAGUUCUCCCUGAGACUUUAAGUCUCCUGAAGGAACGUUAAAGACGAUGACGUUGAUAGGUCGGGUGUGUAAGCGUAGCGAUACGUUGAGCUAACCGAUACUAAUGAACCGUGAGG